UGGUAAACCCAGGAUCUCCUGACAGAUAACAGGUGCGUCCUAGCAACCGACAAACAUCCGCAUUCCGUCAGUAUAUAUAACAGCGGGUGGUACAUUGGGGCAGGACAUUUAACUCAGCCACGAUGUUUGGACAAGGGAGCAGACCAAGAUUUGAAAUUCCCAAACCCGAUUUUACGACUGGGGGCAAGGGAUCAAGACCAAAUUUCCCGAACAUUCCCCGUCCAAACAAUGCACCUGCUCCCCGAGAUCCACCUCCGCCAAAGGCAGACGCAAGUGGGGACUGCACCAUCUCCUAACGCGACACACCCCAAAUCAACACAGUGUAUGUGAAACUUUCAACUGGAGCGUAUUGUGUGUGCGUUUGUUUCCAUGGCAACAAUGCUGCAUGAACCUUCAUCUGCCACUAUCAUAUUGUGGGUUCUCUUUAUGAAAUAAACAAUGAUCAAAACAUAGA
Haliotis rufescens (red abalone) is the source of this 454-nucleotide long non-coding RNA. RefSeq lists it as uncharacterized. The record is from RefSeq and is a predicted model, not a curated record. NCBI's taxonomy places the organism in Eukaryota, Metazoa, Mollusca, Gastropoda, Lepetellida, Haliotidae. The transcript has 3 exons.